RNAcentral lists this ribosomal RNA (468 nucleotides) under uncultured bacterium. Its description in RNAcentral is "partial 16S ribosomal RNA". It matches the Rfam family "Bacterial small subunit ribosomal RNA", at positions 28 to 507 of the family's 1533-position model. The record is from RNAcentral.
GACGAACGCUGGCGGCGUGCUUAACACAUGCAAGUCGAACGGAAAGGCCCUGCUUUUGUGGGGUGCUCGAGUGGCGAACGGGUGAGUAACACGUGAGUAACCUGCCCUUGACUUUGGGAUAACUUCAGGAAACUGGGGCUAAUACCGGAUAGGAGCUCCUGCUGCAUGGUGGGGGUUGGAAAGUUUCGGCGGUUGGGGAUGGACUCGCGGCUUAUCAGCUUGUUGGUGGGGUAGUGGCUUACCAAGGCUUUGACGGGUAGCCGGGCUGAGAGGGUGACCGGCCACAUUGGGACUGAGAUGCGGCCCAGACUCCUACGGGAGGCAGCAGUGGGGAAUAGUGCACAAUGGGCGGAAGCCUGAUGCAGCAACGCCGCGUGCGGGAUGACGGCCUUCGGGUUGUAAACCGCUUUCGCCUGUGACGAAGCGUGAGUGACGGUAAUGGGUAAAGAAGCACCGGCUAACUACGUG